UUCUUCCUAUAGUUUUGUUUGUGUCUUAAUUUGCUGCUUUGCGUGUUAUUGAUGAAGAACAUGCAUGCUGAAGCUUUGUCAUCAGGAUAAUGGCUAGGACAAAAUAGAAAACCACAACUAAAGCUAGAAAAAAGAGAGGGAGAUGAAAACGUGAUGUACAUGUAUGUAAAAGUAAAAGCCACUGUGUGAUAAUCACAAUGAUGGUGAGACUAAAGCUCUCAUAUUGUGUGACAUGUGUCCAUGCAACUGUGUACUUCAUUAUCACAAUAAGAAUCAUCACCACAAUAGACAAAUGGAGAAUGACUGAACAUAAUUAUGACAGCUAGUGUCCAUCAGGUAUAGACAAUCUAAGAGCUGAUGCAACUCUGUCAAGAUCACGAGUAGAGUACACUUCUAAGGCCAUAUCCAUAAACAUAUUCUAAUUAGGCGAGCCAUUCUCAGCCCCGCCCGCCUACUCAUUCUCCCCCCUGUAGAGGGAUCAUGAAUUAUAAUUAAUGAAUGUGUAGUAAUGCUAAAGAACUAAUAGUGUACAUUGUAUAUAAUAACUGUUACAUAAUGUAUGAUAUAAAUAAGUGACACCCACACACACAUGUUCUAAUUUUGGUUGAUGGUCUUUCCUUUGUUGAACCUUGGAGUAAUAGAUCUUUGUUCAUUACUAUAAUACCCAUAGUAGUCGUUACUACAUUUGGCACAGUGAGCAGGAUUCAAACCUGCGCGG
Molecule: long non-coding RNA, 718 nt
Organism: Amphimedon queenslandica
Lineage: Eukaryota; Metazoa; Porifera; Demospongiae; Haplosclerida; Niphatidae
Exons: 3
Source: RefSeq, a predicted model, not a curated record